UGUUUACCAAAAACACAGCUCUAUGCUAAGUCGCAAGACGAUGUAUAUGGGGUGACGCCUGCCCGGUGCCGGAAGGUUAAAAGGAGAGGUUAGGAGCAAUCCGAAGCUUUGAAUUGAAGCCCCGGUGAACGGCGGCCGUAACUAUAACGGUCCUAAGGUAGCGAAAUUCCUUGUCAGGUAAGUUCUGACGUGCACGAAUGGUGUAAUAAUUUGGGCGCUGUCUCGACAGCAGACUCGGUGAAAUCUUAAUACCGGUGAAGAUGCCGGUUACCCGCGACUAGACGGAAAGACCCCAUGGAGCUUUACUAUAACUUAAUAUUGAGUAAAUGCGAAUCUUGUACAGUAUAGGUGGGAGACUUUGAAGUCGGGGCGUCAGCUUCGAUGGAGUCGCCGUUGGGAUACCACUCUGGAUUUGCAUUUAUUCUAACUCCUACCCUGGAUGGGCGGGAGGACAGUGUUAGGCGGGUAGUUUGGCUGGGGCGGCCGCCUCCCAAAUAGUAACGGAGGCGCCCUAAGGUACCCUCAGUAUGGUCGGAAAUCAUACGUAGAGCGCAAAUGCAUAAGGGUGCUUGACUGCAAGACCGACAAGUCGAGCAGGUACGAAAGUAGGGAUUAGUGACCAGGCGGUUUCAUUGUGGAAUGGCCGUCGCUUAACGGAUAAAAGCUACCCUGGGGAUAACAGGCUGAUCGCGUCCAAGAGUUCACUUCGACGACGCGGUUUGGCACCUCGAUGUCGGCUCAUCACAUCCUGGAGGGGCAGCACCUUCCAAGGGUUAGGCUGUUCGCCUAUUAAAGUGGUACGCGAGCUGGGUUCAAAACGUCGUGAGACAGUUUGGUCCCUAUCUGUCGUGGGCGUAGGAAGUUUGAAAGGAUCCGUCCCUAGUACGCAAGGACCAGGAUGGACAUAGCUACGGUACACCGGUUGUAACGCCAGUUGCACGGCCGGGUAGCCGCCUAUGGAUCGGAUAAACGCUGAAAGCAUCUAAGCGCGAAACCGUCCUUAAGAUGAGACUUCCCUUUCGCAAGAAAUAAGAUCCGCGGUAAGUUACCGCGUUGAUAGGUCGCAGAUGUAAGCAUAGCGAUAUGUUCAGUCGAGCGAUACUAAUAGAUCGACCACUUAUUUUC
This 1125-nucleotide ribosomal RNA is filed under the name human gut metagenome. RNAcentral's name for it is "bacterial LSU rRNA". It matches the Rfam family "Bacterial large subunit ribosomal RNA", at positions 1801 to 2925 of the family's 2925-position model. The record is from RNAcentral.